GCUGAGGUGGGAGAAUCACGUAAGCCCAGGAGUUCAAGAUGAGCCUGGGUAAUAGAGCAAGACCCUGUCUCAAAAUACAUAAACAAACUUAGUUUUUCCUUUCAUUUAUUUGUGUUCUCUAUUUCAACUGCAUUCCCUUUUUUUUCUUUUUGUUGUGUUAACUCUAUCUUUUACAUUGAAGGUUUUCUUCAAAUAUCUGGAGACCUUUGACUAUUGAUUUAUAUUUAAGGAGACACUAAAACCUGACUAGAAGCUCUCUACCCAUGGUGCAGUUUAUCUAUUGGUGGGCUUCGUUGGGAUUGAUUUGAUAGUGAAAUGAUUCGAGGAGGGGGGACUAAUGUAUGUCAGUAUCUAUAGAUCUAUUCUCUGGGGUCAUUAAAUAUCUUCAGAAAAGGAUUUUACAAACUUUUGACUCAGGAAUAUAAAUUGGCUGCAGGCUGUAUAGGAGCUGGGUCAGAAAGGAGGAUGAAUAUGGUGUUUCUGCCAAUAUUCAAACUUAAAGAUUCUCUUCUACUUUGAAGCCUUGUUCCCACUCUUCAUCAUGCAUCUUGUCUCUAAGUCCAGACCCUUCCAGUUCAAAUAAUUCCCAACUAAGUCUUCCUUCCUUCUUUGAAGGUGGAGGUGGAGCAGUGGUAUGGUUACAUACAGUGAAGUAGAAUGUUGGAUACCUCUCUGUUCCUUACACAGACUUUCAACCAAACCAUCUUUUUGCAACCUCUUACUAACUCCCAAUUUUUGUAGUACCUGGUGCUGCUUACUCCUGAGCUCUGCCAUUUGGUACAUCAUCUUCUUUCUCAUUGAUAUCUCAUCUGCAGACAACUAGGUUUUAACCUAGUUAAUUACCUAUUGCUUACUGCCAAAUCCUGUUCACUUUCUGACCUCUUAUAUGAUAACUUGGGUUUGGCAAUGUAUUCCACCAUGUUGCAUUUAAUCUAAGAAACCACCUAUUAUAAAAUAAAAUAUCAUCAAAUAUACCACAAAAAAAUGACAAAAUGGUGACCAUGUGACUAUAAUGAUUGUGGCAUUUUGUUUUGUUUUGUUUUC
Molecule: long non-coding RNA, 1044 nt
Filed under: Marmota monax (woodchuck)
Lineage: Eukaryota; Metazoa; Chordata; Mammalia; Rodentia; Sciuridae
Source: RNAcentral